GAUUAAGGGCGCGCGGUGGAUGCCUAGGCUCUCGGAGGCGAAGAAGGACGCGAUAAGCCGCGAUAGUCCACGGCGAGGUGCAAGUAACCCUUGACCCGUGGGUUUCCGAAUGGGGCAACCCGGCCGUCUAGAUGACGGUCAUGCAUUAUCAUGCAGGCGAACGCGGGGAACUGAAACAUCUCAUUACCCGCAGGAGAAGAAAACAAAAUGUGAUUCCCCCAGUAGUGGCGAGCGAACGGGGAAGAGCCCAAACCGCUGCCGUUUCGGCGACAGCGGGGUCAUGGGACCGCGAGAUUCGACGGAAGACGAAGUGCAAUUACCUGGAAAGGUAAGCCGUGGAGGGUGACAGCCCCGUGCACGACACCUCUUUCUUAGAUAGCGGUAUCCCGAGUAGGGCGGGACACGAGAAAUCCUGCCUGAAUUCGCCAGGACCUCCUGGCAAGGCUAAAUACUCCCGAGAGACCGAUAGUGAACCAGUACCGCGAGGGAAAGGUGAAAAGUACCCCGAGCAGGGGGGUGAAAUAGACCCUGAACCCGCGCGCCUACAAGCGGUCGGAGCCGAGUAAUUCGGUGACGGCGUGCCUUUUGCAUAAUGAGCCUACGAGUUAGUCGUCACCAGCGAGGUUAAGGGCUUCAGGCCCGUCAGCCGAAGUGAAAGCGAGCCUUAACAGGGCGUGAAGUUGGUGGCGCUAGACGCGAAACCUUGUGAUCUACCCACGAGCAGGUUGAAGUCGCGGUAACGCGUGAUGGAGGACCGAACCGGUAAACGUUGAAAAGUUUUCGGAUGACUCGCGGGUAGGGGUGAAAGGCCAAUCAAACUGGGAAAUAGCUCGUACUCUCCGAAAUGCAUUUCGGUGCAGCCUGUGAUGUUCUGUUCCAGAGGUAGAGCUACUGGUUGGACGCGAGGGCUUCACCGCCUAUCAAAUCCGGAUAAACUCCGAAUGCUGGAACACGAAAUCAUGGAGUGAGCCCGCGGGUGCUAAGGUCCGCGGACGAGAGGGAAAGAACCCGGACCACCGGCUAAGGUCCCGGAUGGACAGUUAAGUUGAUCAAACGAGGUGGGAUCGCGGAGACAGCUAGGAUGUUGGCUUGGAAGCAGCCAUUCAUUUAAAGAGUGCGUAACAGCUCACUAGUCGAGCGAUCCCGCGUGGAUAAUACACGGGCAUAAAACUGUCAACCGAAGCCGUGGGGUUAGCUUGAUGGCUAACCGGUAGGAGAGCAUUCCUGCCAGCUUUGAAGGUCACCCGCGAGAGUGACUGGAGCGGCAUGAAAAGCAAAUGUAGGCAUAAGUAACGAUAAUGGGGGCGAGAACCCCCCACGCCGCAAGACCAAGGCUUCCCCGGCAAUGUCAAUCAGCCGGGGGUCAGCCGGCCUCUAAGGCUAACCCGAAGGGGGACGCCGACGAGAAACGGGUUAACAUUCCCGUGCUUCUCGUCACCGUGACGCGGUGACGGGGUGAUGAAUGGACCGCGCGCAGACGGAAUAGCGCGUUGAAGGCCGUACCCUUUGAGGGUGGUAGUCAAGCACGCCACCGGAGGCGACAGCCGAUAGUACCUCGAGGCCUCGGCCGAGGGGAUAGCGUCCAGGCAAUUAACCCCCUAGAAAACCCGCUAAACUUCAAGUGACGAGGAACCGUACCGUAAACGGACACACGUGGUCGGGUAGAACAUACCAAGGCGCUCGAGUGAUUCAUGGUCAAGGAACUAGGCAAAAUAGUCCUGUAACUUAGGGAUAAAGGACGCUCUAGUGAUAGAGCCGCAGAGAAAUGGCCCAGGCGACUGUUUACCAAAAACACAUGGCUAUGCCAAAUCGAAAGAUGACGUAUAUGGCCUGACACCUGCCCGGUGCCGGAAGGUUAAGAGGAGAGCUCAUCGGAAACGAGAAGGUUUGAAUUGAAGCCCCGGUAAACGGCGGCCGUAACUAUAACGGUCCUAAGGUAGCGAAAUUCCUUGUCGGGUAAGUUCCG
RNAcentral lists this ribosomal RNA (1966 nucleotides) under human gut metagenome. RNAcentral's name for it is "bacterial LSU rRNA". It matches the Rfam family "Bacterial large subunit ribosomal RNA", at positions 1 to 1985 of the family's 2925-position model. The record is from RNAcentral.